This is a long non-coding RNA of Drosophila teissieri, 360 nucleotides long. RefSeq lists it as uncharacterized. The transcript is spliced from 3 exons. The record is from RefSeq and is a predicted model, not a curated record. Lineage: Eukaryota; Metazoa; Arthropoda; Insecta; Diptera; Drosophilidae.
UCUGCCGCUGCCUCUGCCCGCAGUUCAUAUUAGUUGUUUUUUUUUUCGAAGUAGUUCGGAGCAGUGACCGAAAAUAAGAGUGAGAGAUGAGAGGAGACAAAAUCAGAGUCGAGAAAAAACGCAAUGUAUAGACUUCUGAAUAUCGUUCUAAUAAUUGAAGUGACAAGUGGUGUUUGGAAAAUUUUCAACGUGAAAUAUAUAAAACCGAUAGCAUACGCACAUUAGGAGGCCAGCCCAGCAGCCACCGGAGAAGGCCUUGCCCCAAUGGCCGCACUUGCAUUUGUUAAAAAGAACGCAAACAAAAAUAGGAAAAAAUUAAUGUAAUAAAAGAAAAAAUAAAAAUUUAAUUUAACAUUUAAA